CCUACGGGCGGCAGCAGUGGGGAAUAUUGCACAAUGGCCGCAAGCCUGAUGCAGCCAUGCCGCGUGUGUGAAGAAGGCCUUCGGGUUGUAAAGCACUUUCAGCGGGGAGGAAGGCGGUGAGGUUAAUAACCUCAUCGAUUGACGUUACCCGCAGAAGAAGCACCGGCUAACUCCGUGCCAGCAGCCGCGGUAAUACGGAGGGUGCAAGCGUUAAUCGGAAUUACUGGGCGUAAAGCGCACGCAGGCGGUCUGCCAAGUCGGAUGUGAAAUCCCCGGGCUCAACCUGGGAACUGCAUUCGAAACUGGCAGGCUAGAGUCUUGUAGAGGGGGGUAGAAUUCCAGGUGUAGCGGUGAAAUGCGUAGAGAUCUGGAGGAAUACCGGUGGCGAAGGCGGCCCCCUGGACAAAGACUGACGCUCAGGUGCGAAAGCGUGGGGAGCAAACAGGAUUAGAUACCCGAGUAGUC
This 465-nucleotide ribosomal RNA is filed under the name uncultured Klebsiella sp. RNAcentral's name for it is "bacterial SSU rRNA". It matches the Rfam family "Bacterial small subunit ribosomal RNA", at positions 338 to 795 of the family's 1533-position model. Lineage: Bacteria; Pseudomonadati; Pseudomonadota; Gammaproteobacteria; Enterobacterales; Enterobacteriaceae. The record is from RNAcentral.